GCAAACUUGGUCAUUUAGAGGAAGUAAAAGUCGUAACAAGGUUUCCGUAGGUGAACCUGCGGAAGGAUCAUUAACAAAACAUUAGUGGUCUUGGCCACUUUUUCAUUGAUUCCGUGAACUAACGAUAAACCUUGGUGAGGUGGCAGAGCCACUUGGUGAGCCAUGUCACCAAAGGAAUUUGAUAACAUAAUUUUUGUCUUAUUUGCAACAUAAAGUAUAAAACUUUCAACAACGGAUCUCUUGGUUCUCGCAUCGAUGAAGAACGCAGC
This 269-nucleotide unclassified non-coding RNA is filed under the name uncultured fungus. Its description in RNAcentral is "partial contains small subunit ribosomal RNA, internal transcribed spacer 1, and 5.8S ribosomal RNA". The stretch from base 1 to 73 matches the Rfam family "Eukaryotic small subunit ribosomal RNA", at positions 1759 to 1831 of the family's 1831-position model. The record is from RNAcentral. Lineage: Eukaryota; Fungi.